UUUGACUCGGACUCCUAGGGAAGCAUGGGAGUCUCGGCCUGCGACCCCCCAGAUGCCAAUCAAGCCCCAGGACAUGACUGACAGCACUGGUGACCCUGUUCAAGAGAAUGACCUGGUCCAGGCCGUGCUUCAAGGUGCUUCCCUACUGUCUUCUCUGGAUGAUGCUGAUGCUUCUGACGUUCCCGUGAACAUGCCCAGCCAAGAACCACCCUGGAUGGAAGCCAACAUCGGGUCUUCUGGCUCCACUGGUGAAGCCUGG
Molecule: long non-coding RNA, 259 nt
Organism: Ochotona curzoniae (black-lipped pika)
Lineage: Eukaryota; Metazoa; Chordata; Mammalia; Lagomorpha; Ochotonidae
Exons: 3
Source: RefSeq, a predicted model, not a curated record